GUCAACUACCCACCGCUUAUAGAAGCGGGGGCUUGCAGAAAUGCAAGCUCGGUUGAUUAGCCUCAGACACCAGCCGAAAGGCUGAUGGGGCUACGUUAUGCAGGAAUAUAUAGGCACUGCAGGAUGCUCCACAAGUCCUGCACACUGCGGGCAGUGGUUAAACAUCUCUGAGGGGUAGGAGAAGUGCUGCUGCUGUAAAACCCUGCAUAACUUUGGCGAUGUGGACCUAC
Clostridia bacterium 41_269 is the source of this 230-nucleotide non-coding RNA. The record is from Rfam. Lineage: Bacteria; Bacillati; Bacillota; Clostridia.